RNAcentral lists this ribosomal RNA (717 nucleotides) under Escherichia coli. Its description in RNAcentral is "partial 23S ribosomal RNA". It matches the Rfam family "Bacterial large subunit ribosomal RNA", at positions 528 to 1243 of the family's 2925-position model. Lineage: Bacteria; Pseudomonadati; Pseudomonadota; Gammaproteobacteria; Enterobacterales; Enterobacteriaceae. The record is from RNAcentral.
GGCGAGGGGAGUGAAAAAGAACCUGAAACCGUGUACGUACAAGCAGUGGGAGCACAGAGCAAUCUGUGUGACUGCGUACCUUUUGUAUAAUGGGUCAGCGACUUAUAUUCUGUAGCAAGGUUAACCGAAUAGGGGAGCCGAAGGGAAACCGAGUCUUAACUGGGCGUUAAGUUGCAGGGUAUAGACCCGAAACCCGGUGAUCUAGCCAUGGGCAGGUUGAAGGUUGGGUAACACUAACUGGAGGACCGAACCGACUAAUGUUGAAAAAUUAGCGGAUGACUUGUGGCUGGGGGUGAAAGGCCAAUCAAACCGGGAGAUAGCUGGUUCUCCCCGAAAGCUAUUUAGGUAGCGCCUCGUGAAUUCAUCUCCGGGGGUAGAGCACUGUUUCGGCAAGGGGGUCAUCCCGACUUACCAACCCGAUGCAAACUGCGAAUACCGGAGAAUGUUAUCACGGGAGACACACGGCGGGUGCUAACGUCCGUCGUGAAGAGGGAAACAACCCAGACCGCCAGCUAAGGUCCCAAAGUCAUGGUUAAGUGGGAAACGAUGUGGGAAGGCCCAGACAGCCAGGAUGUUGGCUUAGAAGCAGCCAUCAUUUAAAGAAAGCGUAAUAGCUCACUGGUCGAGUCGGCCUGCGCGGAAGAUGUAACGGGGCUAAACCAUGCACCGAAGCUGCGGCAGCGACGCUUAUGCGUUGUUGGGUAGGGGAGCGUUCUG